This 253-nucleotide ribosomal RNA is filed under the name uncultured bacterium. RNAcentral's name for it is "partial 16S ribosomal RNA". It matches the Rfam family "Bacterial small subunit ribosomal RNA", at positions 524 to 776 of the family's 1533-position model. The record is from RNAcentral.
UACGUAGGGUCCGAGCGUUGUCCGGAGUUACUGGGCGUAAAGGGCGCGCAGGCGGCGGUGCUGGCCCGGCGUGAAAGCCCCCGGCUCAACCGGGGAGGGUCGUCGGGGACCGCACCGCUUGAGGGCGGUAGGGGCCGGUGGAAUGCCUGGUGUAGUGGUGAAAUGCGUAGAGAUUACUAGGAACACCAAUGGCGAAGGCAGCUUGCUGGGCCUUUUCUGACGCUGAGGUACGAAAGCGUGGGGAGCGAACAGG